UUGCUUGUUUUCUGAUUUAAUAUAUAUAUUUUUUGUUUUUGGAGGGUAUCCUUGAGUAAUUCUUUGAGAAUGUUUUGAGUCCUUGGAUAUCUGAAAAUAACUUUAUUUAUUUAUUUUAAAAUUUUAUUUUAGAGAUGGGUUUUCACUGUAUUGCCCAGGCUGGAGUGCAGUGACUAUUCACAGGCACUUUCAUAGAACACUACAGGCUUUAACGCCUAGCCUCAAGUGGUCCUCCCACCUCAGUCUCCCAAGUAGCUGGGAAUACCAGUGCAUGCUACCACACCUGGCAAAUGGCUUUAUUUUUCCUUUCAUGUCAGUAAAUAUCUUUUUACUUGGGAACAUUGACUACAUGGCUCCAUUAUUUUUUUCCAUCUAAUGUUAUAUGUAAGAAUUCUGAUGCUAAUCCCAAUUCUUGUAUUUUGCAGUUCUCUACUACUUCUGCUACUUCUCUUUGAUAGAAGAUUGUACUUUUUAAAUCCUUUGGAAAACUCCAUAUUUUAUGGUCUUUUUUCAUUUAUCCUGCUUCACAUUUAUUAGAUCCUUUCUGUCUGAAGAUUUUCAUCUUUUGAAACAGGAAUUUUUCUUCUUUGUGAGUUUUUUGUUUUUGUUUGACGUGGAGUCUCACUCAUUCUUUUGCCCAGGCUGAAGUACGGUGGCAUGAUCUCUGCUCACUGCAACCUCCGCCUCCUGGGUUCAAGCAGUUCUCCUGCCUCGGCUUCCCAAGUAGCUGGGAUUACAGGUGUGUGCCACCAUGCCUGGCUCAUUUUUUUAUUUUUAGUAGAGAUGGGGUUUUGCCAUGUUGGCCAGGCUGGUCUCAAACUCCUGACCUCAAGUGAACCACCCGCCUCGGCCUCCCAAAGUGCUGGGAUUACAGGCAUGAGCCACCGCACCCAGCCUAUAGAUUUUAAUUGUUACAUGUCUUCUUCAUUUCAUUGGGAUUUAAAGAAGAAAAUUAUGUACAUUUAGCCAGCCAUUUGAAACCAGUUCUGUUGAACAAUAAAAGCACAGGAGUAGGUAAAUUUUUAUAUCAUCACAUUAAAGCUACCAUGAAAAAUAAAAUGGAGUGUUAAGAAAAAGAGGAGCCAUUGAGUUAGGUUUUUGUUUUGUUUUUUUUUUUUUUUUCAGUUAAAAGGCUGUACUAUAUAGUGUUCCAAAUAGAUUCUUUUUAAAAUUUUAGCAAACACUAUAAAUACAGAAGAGAAAACGCAGGGAAAGAGGAAGACAGGAAGAGAAGUUUGCAGACAGAUCUACAGGGAAAACACUGAGACACUUUAAUUUGUAUAGGAUGAUAAAAAGAUGUAUUUAUUAAAUAUUUGCAUCUGUGACAAAAAAUCAAAAUAUGGAUAAUAACAUUGUUAGGACCAGUACCCUUGGAGUUAUAAAAAUAGUGAACAAAAUUUUCAUCCAUCUUAUCAUCUAUGUUGGAUAUGCCACAUAGGUGUCCAUAAAGGUACCUACAAGUUUAUGCUAAGUGAAUCCUACAAAAAGAUGCUUAGAUUCCAGAGAACGUCUCAUAAGUGCCAAAGAGGAUAGGUGUGCAAUCUGUAGUAAUACAAGAGACAGUGUGAGAGAACUGGACAGGAGGAUUCAGAGGAGAUUUCAAAGGACUUGACCCAUUUACGCAGGAGGUUGCAAUUUUUUGAAUUGCAAAAUGAGACCUUGGCAAUGACCUUGAGCAGUAGGAUAUAAAUAAGUCCUACAUGCUUAGUGUUCCACUAAUGGAACACAAGGCAUAAAUGGGUUAAACUGGCUCUUAAAGAAUGAAUACAAUUGGAUGAGUACCUAUUCAGGAGAAUGGAACAGAAAUAGAGGCAACACAGCAUACUUAUUAAAAAUUAUUCUAGAGGCAGAUUGCUGAGUUCAAAUUUUGACCAUGUCACUUAUUUGCUGUAUCACUUUGGUUUAUUUUUUACUUAUUUUUUUUAAUGUGGCCUAGAUGAAUUAAUGCUGUGUCACUUUGGAAAAAUGAUUUCUCUGUGCCUCAGUUUUUGUUGUUUUUUUACUAAAAUGAGAAUAAUAGGACCUACCUUUUAGAGUUGUUAUAAGGAAUAAAUUAAUCCACAUAAAGCAUUUAAGACAAUUUAUGGCAUCAACUGUAAUUGUUAGUUGCCAUGAUUAUCAUCAUCAUCUUCAUAGAAGGACAUUUUGGAAUUAUAAAUGGACAGAUUGUAUUCAUUGGCUAGUAAAUGAACCGGCCUGCUUCGAAUACACAAUUCAUACUGGGAAGUAGUAGAAGAAUGUGUUGAAGUCAGUUGGAGUCCACACCAUGGUGGUCUUGAAUUCCAGGCUAAGAAACAGUUAAUUAUUAUUCUUUUAUUGAAGAGGAAACAAAAAAGUUAUAUACAAUGUCUGAAAUUGCCUAAGUCUUUUUUUGGGGGGGUACGGGGGGCAGGGUACCGAGUCUCACUGUCGCCCAGGCUGGAGUGCAGUGGCACGAUCUCGGCUCACUGCAACCUCCACCUCCUGGGUUCAAGCGAUUCUCCCGCCUCAGCCUCCUGAGUAGCUGGGAUUUUUCUAUUUUUAGUAGAGACAGGGUUACACCAUGUUGGUCAGGCUGGUCUCGAACUCCUGACCUCAUGAUCCACCUGCCUCGGCCUCCCAAAGUGCUGGGAUUACAGGCGUGAGCCACCGCGCCCUGCCAAUUGCCUAAGUUUUAACUAAAACGCCCAGCAUUUGAACUGCUCUUUGUGUUUCCGUCCAUUCUACAGGGAUUCUGAAUGAAACCACUAUUUUAGGAAGAUUUAUUUCAGUAAUAUCCAUAAGGCCUAAAUUUAGGUGAUGGUGAGAGAAAUGGGUAAGGAAGGGACAAGUUCCAAAAAUGAAUGGAAUUGAACUAGAUGAUCUUUUGGUUCUUUUCUAGCUCAGACAUCACUGAUGACUUUCUUACCUCUCUAGCUUAGAAAAUCUUUACAUCAUAUGAUCUACUGUAUAUAAUUUUUUGUUUCCAGAAUUUGUAAUAUAUGUUUUCCUCAUGUAUGCUUUUCUACAGGUUUUAGAUGGAGCAGGAUUAGAUAUUGAUUUCCAUCUUGCCUCUCCAGAAGGCAAAACCUUAGUUUUUGAACAAAGAAAAUCAGAUGGAGUUCACACUGUAGAGACUGAAGUUGGUGAUUACAUGUUCUGCUUUGACAAUACAUUCAGCACCAUUUCUGAGAAGGUGAUUUUCUUUGAAUUAAUCCUGGAUAAUAUGGGAGAACAGGCACAAGAACAAGAAGAUUGGAAGAAAUAUAUUACUGGCACAGAUAUGUUGGAUAUGAAACUGGAAGACAUCCUGGAAUCCAUCAACAGCAUCAAGUCCAGACUAAGCAAAAGUGGGCACAUACAAACUCUGCUUAGAGCAUUUGAAGCUCGUGAUCGAAACAUACAAGAAAGCAACUUUGAUAGAGUCAAUUUCUGGUCUAUGGUUAAUUUAGUGGUCAUGGUGGUGGUGUCAGCCAUUCAAGUUUAUAUGCUGAAGAGUCUGUUUGAAGAUAAGAGGAAAAGUAGAACUUAAAACUCCAAACUAGAGUACUUAACAUUGAAAAAUGAGGCAUAAAAAUGCAAUAAACUGUUACAGUCAAGACCAUUAAUGGUCUUCUCCAAAAUAUUUUGAGAUAUAAGUAUGAAACAGGUAUAAUUUUAAUGUGAAAAUUAAGUCUUCACUUUCUGUGCAAGUAAUCCUGCUGAUCCAGUUGUACUUAAGUGUGUAACAGGAAUAUUUUGCAGAAUAUAGGUUUAACUGAAUGAAGCCAUAUUAAUAACUGCAUUUUCCUAACUUUGAAAAAUUUUGCAAAUGUCUUAGGUGAUUUAAAUAAAUGAGUAUUGGGCCUAAUUGCAACACCAGUCUGUUUUUAACAGGUUCUAUUACCCACAACUUUUUUGUAAAUGCGGCAGUUACAAAUUAACUGUGGAAGUUUUCAGUUUUAAGUUAUAAAUCACCUGAGAAUUACCUAAUGAUGGAUUGAAUAAAUCUUUAGACUACAAAA
RNAcentral lists this small RNA (3962 nucleotides) under Pan troglodytes (chimpanzee). Its description in RNAcentral is "processed transcript". Lineage: Eukaryota; Metazoa; Chordata; Mammalia; Primates; Hominidae. The record is from RNAcentral.